GACGAACGUUGGCGGCGUGCUUAACACAUGCAAGUCGAACGGAAAGGCCCUGCUUUUGUGGGGUGCUCGAGUGGCGAACGGGUGAGUAACACGUGAGUAACCUGCCCUUGACUUUGGGAUAACUUCAGGAAACUGGGGCUAAUACCGGAUAGGAGCUCCUGCUGCAUGGUGGGGGUUGGAAAGUUUCGGCGGUUGGGGAUGGACUCGCGGCUUAUCAGCUUGUUGGUGGGGUAGUGGCUUACCAAGGCUUUGACGGGUAGCCGGCCUGAGAGGGUGACCGGCCACAUUGGGACUGAGAUACGGCCCAGACUCCUACGGGAGGCAGCAGUGGGGAAUAUUGCACAAUGGGCGGAAGCCUGGUGCAGCAACGCCGCGUGCGGGAUGACGGCCUUCGGGUUGUAAACCGCUUUCGCCUGUGACGAAGCGUGAGUGACGGUAAUGGGUAAAGAAGCACCGGCUAACUACGUGCCAGCAGCCGCGGUGAUACGUAGGGUGCGAGCGUUGUCCGGAUUUAUUGGGCGUAAAGGGCUCGUAGGUGGUUGAUCGCGUCGGAAGUGUAAUCUUGGGGCUUAACCCUGAGCGUGCUUUCGAUACGGGUUGACUUGAGGAAGGUAGGGGAGAAUGGAAUUCCUGGUGGAGCGGUGGAAUGCGCAGAUAUCAGGAGGAACACCAGUGGCGAAGGCGGUUCUCUGGGCCUUUCCUGACGCUGAGGAGCGAAAGCGUGGGGAGCGAACAGGCUUAGAUACCCUGGUAGUCCACGCUGUAAACGGUGGGUACUAGGUGUGGGGUCCAUUCCACGGGUUCCGUGCCGUAGCUAACGCUUUAAGUACCCCGCCUGGGGAGUACGGCCGCAAGGCUAAAACUCAAAGGAAUUGACGGGGCCCCGCACAAGCGGCGGAGCAUGCGGAUUAAUUCGAUGCAACGCGUAGAACCUUACCUGGGUUUGACAUGGAUCGGGAGUGCUCAGAGAUGGGUGUGCCUCUUUUGGGGUCGGUUCACAGGUGGUGCAUGCCUGUCGUCAGCUCGUGUCGUGAGAUGUUGGGUUAAGUCCCGCAACGAGCGCAACCCUUGUUCACUGUUGCCAGCACGUUAUGGUGGGGACUCAGUGGAGACCGCCGGGGUCAACUCGGAGGAAGGUGGGGAUGACGUCAAGUCCUCAUGCCCCUUAUGUCCAGGGCUUCACGCAUGCUACAAUGGCUGGUACAGAGAGUGGCGAGCCUGUGAGGGUGAGCGAAUCUCGGAAAGCCGGUCUCAGUUCGGAUUGGGGUCUGCAACUCGACCUCAUGAAGUCGGAGUCGCUAGUAAUCGCAAAUCAGCAACGCUGCGGUGAAUACGUUCCCGGGGCU
Molecule: ribosomal RNA, 1346 nt
Filed under: uncultured bacterium
Lineage: Bacteria
Description: bacterial SSU rRNA
Rfam family: Bacterial small subunit ribosomal RNA
Source: RNAcentral